GCUUAUGGCUACGCAAACGUGAGCAUGCCUGAGGAUAAGCAUUCUUGGCCCUGGUUAGCACAUGGGUUGGAAUCUGCCUGGGAAUACCAGGUGAUGUAAGCU
This 102-nucleotide ribosomal RNA is filed under the name Amphilophus citrinellus (Midas cichlid). The record is from RNAcentral. Lineage: Eukaryota; Metazoa; Chordata; Actinopteri; Cichliformes; Cichlidae.